The sequence is a non-coding RNA, 194 nucleotides long. It matches the Rfam family "Yersinia sRNA 251". From Rfam's summary of the family: Antisense to phoH gene. Trimmed on 5'end from the original size. The record is from Rfam.
AGUAUGCUUGCAGCGUCCGCUGGCAGAGGGCCGAGCGCACGCAGUCAUCUUUGGUAAAGCGGACGAUGCCAAUCAUCUCAUCUUCCUCAAAACGUGCCAGCGCAUCGCUCAGGCCGGACUGGACGCCCGACGGCAAAUCGCACUGGGUGAUAUCACCGUUAACGAUCACGGUCACGUUCUCCCCGAGGCGUGUC